Molecule: long non-coding RNA, 1368 nt
Filed under: Macaca mulatta (Rhesus monkey)
Lineage: Eukaryota; Metazoa; Chordata; Mammalia; Primates; Cercopithecidae
Description: lncRNA (ENSMMUG00000050850.1)
Source: RNAcentral
GAACACUCAGAGUAGUGUGAUGUUCAUACUACGAGAGGCAUUUAGGAUGUGAAAGUGAGAAAACAAGGUUUUGUGAGUGUAGUCUUGGGAUUACUCACUGUGUGCCUUUCAGCCACCUCCCUUCUCCCUCUCCUUUCAUUGCUUUCUUCUCCUUGAUUUUAAGUUGAUUGUUGUAUAUGUAUAAUGGAAUUCCCCAGGGUCAUAUUGUUUCAACAGCACAUUAUGAAACAAGUACUUUUAAAUUCACAUUCAAACACAGAGUCAAAGUAGAGGUUCUUCUUUGAAUGAACCCUACAUUGCCUUUGGGGGUGGUCAUCAUGUAUAAUUUUUAAAAUUUGUUAACCUCUGAAGCUAAAAUUCAUUUUUUUGUAUUAAGUCUAAUAGAUUUGAAAACUUAAGUGUAGAUUUUUAAAAAAUGUUCAGUAAGGGUAUAUUUAUACGAUUUUGUCACUGCAAUUUGACUAUUUCAUUCAUUGCUUUCUUUGUAACACUAUUUCUUCCAAAUAUCAUGCUUUCAUUGGUUUUAUGAACAGAUUUAUACUUUAGAGUGUGAGCAAGGAUGUACAAAAGAGGCUUCAGAGACUAGAGGGUCAGAGGGCAAAAAGAAGAAAUCCAACUCCCAGCUCAGGUCAAAAGGGAAGAAAGGCUGGUAUUGAAAGAAAUCCAAGAAUGACUGUGUCUGCAACUAGCCCUUUUCUGCAAAGUAUUCAUGAUGUUUCAGUUAAAAUAUUUGUUCUUAUGAUGGUCAAUAAUAUGAAUAGUUAUGCUUUGUAAAAGAAUUCUUACAAUUAAUGGAUCAUUCUAAAUUAUUAUAUGUUUAGUUGCUAUAGUAAGAUGACGUCAAAGAUUUAUUGCCUGUUAAAUGUUUCUGGGAUCUUUGCUUUAUUUUUAUAUUAUGAUCUGUGCUUCCAAAGUUGAGCUGUAAUUUUAUUGUUUAUACAAAUGUAGAAUAAAGCUUAAGUUUGGGGAGAAAAAUAAAAGCCAGAGUUUUCCUUUCAGCUCUAUAGAACAGUCAUUCAUUUCUAUAAAUAUUCUUUAUGUACCUUUCCUAGUUCCACAUUUAAAAAGAUAAAUGUGGGGAUCUACACAGGUCUCAGUAAAUAAUAGUUGUUGAUUAAUAAUGCAUUUAUUAUAAAGCUUGAAGUUUAAAGUAGAAUUUUGCUCAGCCUGCAUAUCUUUUAUGGUCAGGCUGCUAUAAUUAUGUAAUACCCAGUUAAAUUUCAAUUUCAGAUAAAUAAUGAAUAUUUUAGUUUAAGCAUGACCCAAAUAUUGCAUGGGAUAUACUUACACUGAAAAAAUUAUUUGUUUAUCUGAAAUUUAAAAUUAACUGGGCAUGCUAUAUUUUCUGUGGCAACCCUGUUUUAUAGA